CGGGGUGUAGCUCAGCUUGGCCGGAGCGCUUGGUUUGGGACCAAGAGGUCGGUGGUUCAAAUCCACUCACCCCGA
Molecule: transfer RNA, 75 nt
Filed under: Planctomycetota bacterium
Lineage: Bacteria; Pseudomonadati; Planctomycetota
Description: Planctomycetes bacterium (freshwater metagenome) tRNA-Pro
Rfam family: tRNA
About the family: Transfer RNA (tRNA) molecules are approximately 80 nucleotides in length. Their secondary structure includes four short double-helical elements and three loops (D, anti-codon, and T loops).
Source: RNAcentral